Molecule: RNase P RNA, 477 nt
Filed under: Acidobacteriota bacterium
Lineage: Bacteria; Pseudomonadati; Acidobacteriota
Description: Acidobacteria bacterium RNase P RNA component class A
Rfam family: Bacterial RNase P class A
About the family: Ribonuclease P (RNase P) is a ubiquitous endoribonuclease, found in archaea, bacteria and eukarya as well as chloroplasts and mitochondria. Its best characterised activity is the generation of mature 5'-ends of tRNAs by cleaving the 5'-leader elements of precursor-tRNAs.
Source: RNAcentral
GGAGCAGGUCGGACGGUCGCCGGCCCAAGUUUUUUGGAUUGGGCGGGAGGAAAGUCCGAACUCCACAGGGUAGUGUGCCCCGUAACGCGGGGGGCUCACUAGAGUACGGAAAGUGCAACAGAAAAGAUACCGCCCUGAAAAGCAGUGGCGAGUGAGCAGUGCGCGAUUCUGAUUUCUUUUGAACCAUCGGCAUUUUGCUCGUCACUAGCCACUUGUCACUCGCCACUGCUUUUCAGGGUAAGGGUGAAAUGGUGCGGUAAGAGCGCACCGGUUGCUUAGCAAUAAGCAAGCCUGGCAAACCCCACACGGAGCAAAUCCAAAUAGGGAUGGAGGCGUGACCCGCGCCGUUUGACAUCCGGGUAGGACGCUGGACCUGAGAGGUAACUCUCGGGCUAGAGGAAUGACCGUUGCUCGCUGAACAUUAGUUUCAACGGGUUCAGAGGGACACAGAAUUCGGCUUAUAGACCUGCUCCUUCC